This 333-nucleotide ribosomal RNA is filed under the name Triticum aestivum (bread wheat). RNAcentral's name for it is "partial small subunit ribosomal RNA". The record is from RNAcentral. Lineage: Eukaryota; Viridiplantae; Streptophyta; Magnoliopsida; Poales; Poaceae.
AUGGGGAUUGGCAGUGGUGGUACUGUCACCGGCGUCGGCAAGUACCCCAAGGAGAAGAACCCCAAUGCGAAGAUCUAUGGAGUUGAACCUGGCAAAGCAAAUAUUCUGAAUGGUGGCAAGCCAGGGCUUCACCAAAUAACUGGAAAUGGAGUGGGAUUCAAGCCAGACAUUUUGGACAUGGACAUAAUGGAGAAGGUUCUUGAGGUGAAAGGUGAGGAUGCCGUCAAGAUGGCGCUGCAAGAGGGCCUGCCUGCUGAUUACAUUGAAGUGUUGCUGAACUUGUGGAAUUUUCGCAUGUGGGGAUAUCAUCAAUUGCCAACACGGUGGCAGUGA